AGUAACACGUAGAUAACCUGCCCUUUAGUGGGGAAUAACAUCUCGAAAGAGAUGCUAAUACCGCAUAAGCUCUUUACCGAUAGGUAGAGAGGGAAACCUGCUCUUCGGAGCGGGGCCGAAGGAGGGGUCUGCGGCGGAUUAGCUAGUUGGUGAGGUAACGGCCCACCAAGGCGACGAUCCGUAGCUGGUCUGAGAGGACGACCAGCCACACUGGAACUGAGACACGGUCCAG
Molecule: ribosomal RNA, 232 nt
Filed under: uncultured bacterium
Lineage: Bacteria
Description: partial 16S ribosomal RNA
Rfam family: Bacterial small subunit ribosomal RNA
Source: RNAcentral